This 74-nucleotide transfer RNA is filed under the name Escherichia coli. RNAcentral's name for it is "tRNA-Gly". It matches the Rfam family "tRNA". Rfam says of the family: Transfer RNA (tRNA) molecules are approximately 80 nucleotides in length. RNAcentral also lists the same sequence under 1 other name. Lineage: Bacteria; Pseudomonadati; Pseudomonadota; Gammaproteobacteria; Enterobacterales; Enterobacteriaceae. The record is from RNAcentral.
GCUGGCGUAGUUCAAUGGUAGAACGAGAGCUUCCCAAGCUCUAUACGAGGGUUCGAUUCCCUUCGCCCGCUCCA